Molecule: RNA transcript, 1839 nt
Organism: Papaver somniferum (opium poppy)
Lineage: Eukaryota; Viridiplantae; Streptophyta; Magnoliopsida; Ranunculales; Papaveraceae
Exons: 6
Source: RefSeq, a predicted model, not a curated record
GUGUUGGCGUAUAUAUCUUACCUCUAGAAUAUUAGGAGCAUAAAAUCUGUAGUAUCAAAAUUAAUUUUGGAAACUUAGACAUUUGAUUGGGGAAGAUAGAUAUAGUAAAUUCCACUUAGGGUUUGGAGUUUUUUUUCGUUUUAAAACAUAAAAUAAAAAUCAGUCUUACUAGGACCUUGUUUUCUUUGAAAUCUUAGUUGUUGGGACUCAAAAAAUUGAAAGAAGAAGGAGAUGGUUUGAGGCGAAAAAUUGAUAUUAGUUUGGGGAUUCUUCUAUUGCGAAAUCAGGUAGGUUUUUUAACUCUUAUAUUCAUUAUGAUGGGUCUGAUGAUUCUAAAAAGCUUUAAGGGUUUUGUCACUUUCUGAACAGUAAGGAGAGGAAGGAUCUAAAUUUUUAUUACUGUCGUAGUGACCCUAGACCGAUGCUAUUUGAUGUCUGGAUACUUCUGAUUAUCAUUUGUUGAUGCGCACUAAGAUGCUUUGACGCAGUAAGUUGUUUUUGAAAUAUUUCUUCAUAUAUAUAUAUCUAUCUUACAAAAACAAAUGUGUUUUUGUUAAUCUGACGGAUAUGAAUGGGCGUUUUAAGACGAUCGACGACUCAUAUUCCUAUGAAAGUGCAAAAGAUAAAUCGUGGCCCAUUUAUUGUCCGUUACAAACCAAAAUCACCACCACUCAAAAGGCGUUUUAUUCUUCAUUCAUUGGUAAUCAACCCAUUUGGUUUUUGAAACGCUCUAUCAAAUGUUUGAGUAUAUAUAUAUCUCUUUGUGUAAUCUUCGGCUCCCACUCCGCAAGUUCAACAUUCAUCUCCAGGAAAAGAGUUUACCAUUGUGUUAUUGGUGAUGUUGUCAUUCUCCUUUCUCUUACAGGGUUUAGAAAUUACUUGGAAAGGUUGUUUACACUGCUAGCGAGAGGUCCUGCCGAAUAACUUCGCUCCACAAACAAACUCAGGGUUAAUUAGAGUUGUUACUUCUGCUUUAGAGCUGUUACUUCUGCUUAUGAUAGAGCCUUCUUCCAUGUUCAGGAACUAGGGAAAGACCCAUGGAUACUCAUCAUACGCGGGCUGUUAGCAAUCAAAAAUCUCUCGCAAGACAUGCCAAUCUAGCAGACCUCUCGCAGUAUAUACAACUGCGAGAAUAAGGCAUUAGACAAUGAUAUCAUUUACGUAAUGGACAAUGAACCUAUAUUCAAAGGAAGAAGGAGAACGCAAGGUUGUUGCAGCUUUUGAAGAGCUGUUGAAUGUGGAGAUGGACUACCAAUUAAUGUCUGCGUAAAACAAUAAGAAGCAAGCCAAUCCAAGCUUCACGGUUACUCAUUGCCUUGCACUGCUAUGCGCCCCACAACAGAAACUCCCUCAAGCCCUGUUCUCACAACCCCAAAAGUUGAAACUGACCCCGAUGACAAUGAUGAGUCACCUUGCAAAAGGACAAAGUUACAGUCGACCUGGAAGCCAAAAGGGGAAAUCAAGGUUGUAGACUCAAACUUGAUUUUUCACGAGAUCUUUUGACAGGGUCCAAUGUGACUAGCAGUGCUGGAGAUUUAGAGGCUAACGUGACAGGCUCCACUGUUCUUAGCAGUGUUGAAGACUUAGCGUCGAACGUGUCAGGCUCCACUGUGCUCAGCAGUGAUGAAGAGUGAAGACUGAAGGGCAGGAGAUUGUUGGGGUCAUAGAUGUGAUGAGCAGUAUUUGCUUGAGUUUUAUUGUUUAUCUUUUUAUGUUAGUUUUUUAACAAUGUUUGGGGACUUUUAAAUUUUGUCGGAUGUAGUUAGGGACCAAAAGGUAUUGGGGUAAAUCACUCAAGAGUUAAGUUAUCCUGCUUCUAUAAUAAUGAUUUGUUUUUAA